This 22-nucleotide ribosomal RNA is filed under the name Alternaria obovoidea. RNAcentral describes it as "partial 18S ribosomal RNA". Lineage: Eukaryota; Fungi; Ascomycota; Dothideomycetes; Pleosporales; Pleosporaceae. The record is from RNAcentral.
GGUGAACUGCGGAGGGACAUUA